CGUUUUAGCUACGUCUCUGACAGCGAUCAUCAGGCGUACGUGGUUAAACUAAAUUGUUAAUCGUCGAUGCUUGUGAGUGAAAUCUAACAACGAAUUGCAAAAUGAUCGACAACUGACAACCGCCUAUGCAAAAUGCAAAGAUCAAUACAAUUUGGCAUGUUAACAGCCAAAACUUGAAAAUGCAUACCAUGUGGGAAAAUGUUGGUCGUUGAAGACUAGCCAUUGUCUCCAAACAUAGAGUAAGUAAAUAGAAGCGCGAGAAGUACCUGAUCAACUGAAGAUGACGGUCCCGGAGCGCCGGAAUCGAGGGCCGGCGCUGGAGCUCCGACUGGAGGUGCGGGUGGGCCGGGGGCCAGUGCGAGGGGAGAAGGCGCCAAAGCUGGAGAUUUCACGGUGGGUGCUGGAGCUGGUACCUGAGCUGGCGGAGACGCAAGAGGGGCCGGUGGUGGUGUUGCUGGUGGUGGAGUGGCGGGUGGCGGAGUGGCUGGUGGUGGUGUGGCCGGUGGUGGAGUAGCGGGUGGAGGAGUAGCUGGAGGUGGAGUUGCGGGUGGAGGAGCGUUGACUGGAGGUGGGGUGGCCGGCGGGGGAGCUGAGACAGGGGGAGGAGUUGAUGGAGGCGGAGACGUGGUAACUGGGGGCGGUGCUGUGGCAACGGGAGGAGGAGCUGACGUGGGAGGAGGGGUGGAUGCGGGAGGUGGAGUGCUGGCGGGGGGAGAGGGUGGUGGCUGGUUGUUGGAUGGUGGAGUUGUGGGUGUGGCAGGGGGAGCAGGAGUGCUAGUGGUGGGUGGGUUGGCGGGGGGAGAUUGGCCCCCGACACCGGCGAAGACAAUGCAGACAAAGCCUAGGAAGAACAAAGUCUUGCGAUCCAUGUCUGAUCUCUCUGUGUGAUUAACAGAGAGCGAGAGAGAGAGAAUGAAUGAGUAAGUCGACUCGGUCGACUUAUGGAGUUUUGGGUUUAGAGUGGGAGAGAGA
RNAcentral lists this long non-coding RNA (972 nucleotides) under Malus domestica (apple). Its description in RNAcentral is "long non-coding RNA (MDOM_LNC004739)". Lineage: Eukaryota; Viridiplantae; Streptophyta; Magnoliopsida; Rosales; Rosaceae. The record is from RNAcentral.